AGUGAACGCUGGCGGUAGGCCUAACACAUGCAAGUCGAACGGCAGCACAGUAAGAGCUUGCUCUUACGGGUGGCGAGUGGCGGACGGGUGAGGAAUACAUCGGAAUCUACUUUUUCGUGGGGGAUAACGUAGGGAAACUUACGCUAAUACCGCAUACGACCUACGGGUGAAAGCAGGGGAUCUUCGGACCUUGCGCGAUUGAAUGAGCCGAUGUCGGAUUAGCUAGUUGGCGGGGUAAAGGCCCACCAAGGCGACGAUCCGUAGCUGGUCUGAGAGGAUGAUCAGCCACACUGGAACUGAGACACGGUCCAGACUCCUACGGGAGGCAGCAGUGGGGAAUAUUGGACAAUGGGCGCAAGCCUGAUCCAGCCAUACCGCGUGGGUGAAGAAGGCCUUCGGGUUGUAAAGCCCUUUUGUUGGGAAAGAAAAGCAGCAGGUUAAUACCCCGCUGUUCUGACGGUACCCAAAGAAUAAGCACCGGCGAACUUC
RNAcentral lists this ribosomal RNA (489 nucleotides) under uncultured bacterium. RNAcentral's name for it is "partial 16S ribosomal RNA". It matches the Rfam family "Bacterial small subunit ribosomal RNA", at positions 29 to 504 of the family's 1533-position model. The record is from RNAcentral.